Molecule: long non-coding RNA, 1710 nt
Organism: Alligator mississippiensis (American alligator)
Lineage: Eukaryota; Metazoa; Chordata; Crocodylia; Alligatoridae
Exons: 3
Source: RefSeq, a predicted model, not a curated record
UGUUUUUAUUAUUAGCUAGCUUUGAGUUGUUUUUGUAGAGCUCAAAGGUGCUCAUUAUAUUAUAUCUUUUCUUUUUUUAUUGCUGUGAGAUGUUCUUUUAACAUAACAUAGCAAUAGCCUUGUUACCAUUGCCAAUUAACUGAACUUGGCACUAACCAGCUGAAUCAGAGGGAUGAAAGGAUUGGAAAGGUAAUAAGGGAGACCAAUGGAUAAUGGCCAAAGUAAGACACUGGAAAAAGGCCAAAUUAAGAGGUGUACCUGUAAUGGGCUUGUUAGACACACAAAAAAAAAAUGCUCACGGGAUAAAAGAUGGACAGUAUGCUGACUGCAGACAGACCAAUAUGAAAGCAAAGAGCCAUCAAAGAAGUGGAGUUCAAGAAAAGCAUAAAAGGGGGGAGCAAGAAAGUUCAUCAUCAUCAUCAUAAAUCCAGCCUUCAAUACCUGUAUGGACCGUCCCAGCCCAUGCUUUAUCCUUUGCUUCCAGGAACUGAGUGGCCAUCUUUUCUGUUGAGCAGAGUAACAUCUGGGACUGGGUUCUGAGACAGCCCAGUCCACCUGGAACAUGUCUGGAAUCCACAGCUCUAUUGCUGAUGGCUGAAGUCUGGAGAUGCAGAAAGUUAUUAAAGGCUGAACAAAGAGCCCAGCUGACAAUGAAUGGGAUUACAAAGGGAAAAAAGCAAGAAAUUCCCUCACAGAGAUAGAUGUUUUGGACAAGAAAGGAUAAUUACAAAAGCAUAUUCAUUAAUAGGCUUUUGUAGCAGGAAGGGCCCAAUUUAGGGGCAGGACUAGCCAAGAUAAGAGAAGACAAAAACUUCUCAUCUGAACCAAGAGUAAGGUGCACUGUAUUCAUGCCAUUUACAUUUUCUAAUCACCUAUCCUCUGUUAUAUGUUAGAUUUUAAGCAAAGAGCAAUGCUGUUUCUAAAAACUCUGCACAAUGCCUAUUUGUCCAUCUCUGCGCCUACCUAGCUCCUGAUGAAUUAAAACAUAAAUAAGAAGGCUCACAGUGGGCACAUCUACAUGUGCAUUUUAAUCUGAAUUAGCUUAUUUUGAUGCACAUUAAAGUGUCACAAAAAACCCCAUGCGCUUUCGCUAAUGUGCAUUAAAAUCAGAUAAUGUGAGAUUUUCUAGUACCUAACAAUGGAGGUGCUAAAUUUAAGGUGCAUUAGCAAAAGCACAUUAAUGAACGUGUAGACCAGGGGUGCAGGCACCCGGUGGGGCACAGCUACAUCCAGUAUUGCACAUCGUGGCAAGGGGCACAGCCUCCACUGGGCCAUCUGUAUCAUUAGCACUUCCCGCACUUGUGCAGCAUGGGAGGGAAGCCCCAGGUGAUGGAACCGCCUGUCUUCCCUACCAGGGCUACAUGGCAUGGGAGAGAAGCCCCAGGCACCUUUCCCUGGGGGGUGGGGAAGGCAGCUGUUUCCAGUGCUUGGGGCACUCCCAUGCCCAGAGAGUGCGGGGAGUGCUGGUGAUAGAGAUUGCUCGGUGGAAGGCUGUGCUCCUCGCCAAGAUGUGCAGCACUGGCCAGACCUGCACCACACCAGGCUCCAGAGCCCUGAACACCCUCAAAUGCUGCUGCUGUGCCAUGGGGGGGGGGGUGCUGCAGGCAUCUCCACACCCCCCCACCCUCCUCACACCCUACAAAGCUUACACCUCCACACCCUGCCCCACAACUCCCCACAUAUCCCCUAAUAUACCUUAUGCCCCGCCAC